CCAGACUCCUACGGGAGGCAGCAGUGGGGAAUAUUGGGCAAUGGAGGAAACUCUGACCCAGCAACGCCGCGUGAAUGAUGAAGGUCUUCGGAUUGUAAAGUUCUUUUCUAAGGGAAGAAGAAAGUGACGGUACCUUAGGAAUAAGCCCCGGCUAACUACGUGCCAGCAGCCGCGGUAAUACGCAGGGGGCAAGCGUUAUCCGGAUUUAUUGGGUGUAAAGGGCGUGUAGGCGGGAGCGCAAGUCAGAUGUGAAAACUCAGGGCUCAACCCUGAGCCUGCAUUUGAAACUGUGUUUCUUGAGUGCUGGAGAGGCAAUCGGAAUUCCGUGUGUAGCGGUGAAAUGCGUAGAUAUACGGAGGAACACCAGUGGCGAAGGCGGAUUGCUGGACAGUAACUGACGCUGAGGCGCGAAAGCGUGGGGAGCAAACAGGAUUAGAUACCCGAGUAC
Molecule: ribosomal RNA, 448 nt
Filed under: uncultured bacterium
Lineage: Bacteria
Description: bacterial SSU rRNA
Rfam family: Bacterial small subunit ribosomal RNA
Source: RNAcentral